Molecule: transfer RNA, 59 nt
Filed under: Dirofilaria immitis (dog heartworm nematode)
Lineage: Eukaryota; Metazoa; Nematoda; Chromadorea; Rhabditida; Onchocercidae
Description: transfer RNA-ile
Source: RNAcentral
AUUAUAAUAGUUUAAAUUUUGUAGAAUUUCGUUUUGAUUGGGCGAGGGUGUUUAUAAUU